AUCUCGUCACCGCCCCAUUCCUAAGUCCUGGACUCGGACCGGCGCGCGGUGGAUGUUGGCCUCCCGUUCCCCUAGCGGCGCGGAUGGCCUAAAUUCGAGUCCCCGGACAAGGGACGUCACGACUAAAGGUGGUUGAAUUCUCAUUCAUUCUCGCUCUAGCGUCCUGACGGCCCCCGGCGGAACUGAACAAGCCCAGAGCUCCCCAAAUUAGCUUCAAAGCUGGUCCAAGGGAGCCUUCGA
This 240-nucleotide unclassified non-coding RNA is filed under the name Galium aparine. RNAcentral describes it as "partial internal transcribed spacer 2". Lineage: Eukaryota; Viridiplantae; Streptophyta; Magnoliopsida; Gentianales; Rubiaceae. The record is from RNAcentral.